Centruroides sculpturatus (bark scorpion) is the source of this 172-nucleotide long non-coding RNA. RefSeq lists it as uncharacterized. Lineage: Eukaryota; Metazoa; Arthropoda; Arachnida; Scorpiones; Buthidae. The record is from RefSeq and is a predicted model, not a curated record. The transcript is spliced from 2 exons.
AUUUAUAAUUUUCUUACAGUAUCGAUACGUAGAUCAAGCCAAGAGAGACAUCUGCAAUGCUCUACAGUUAUACAAAAGUCUAUAUCCGAAACGACAGCAAUUUGUGUUUAAUGAUGGUUCGAGCAAGGAAUUAGUGUGUCUUGAUGGUACGAUACCUGUUCCAUUUAAAGGU